GGAACCAAGAAAUAAACACAGGGCUAAACUGAGUUUCCCACAACAUACAGUUCAGACCUCAGUCAGAACCUCCCCAGUCUGGCCUCUCCAUGGCACUCAUGUUUUGCCUCAUCUUAUGUUGCAUCUCAGUGAAGAUAUACUGGCACACUCUGCACACAUAUUUGGGCAAAUGAUGCUGUAUUGAGGAAGGAAGAGACUGAAGAGUAGCCUUUACACAACACAACGCAUUGCCAGCAACUGACAUAGGCUAGCAGGCUGAUGUUCUGGGGCAGUAUUUAAGGCAUUGUCAGUUGGUUGGUCUUGCCCAGAUGCAUAGAGCAGAUCAAGUACAGCAGGAAUGGCUGUAGAAGAGCAGAGAUGAAGAUCUCCCACUUCUCCUCACAUCUGAGUUGACUCAGGUUCUGUGGGCAAACAUACCUGUGAGUUUCUUUCACAGAGAGGAACAGUUUCAACAGGAAAAGGUGAAGUGUCCUUGUUUCAAAAUAGGCUGUAUCUGGAGAAGGAGAACAGUCCUAAAGAGAUGGCAGAGAACCAAAUAAACAAAAAUAAAAAUAAGGACAAAAAUAAAAAAUAAAAAUAAAUGCAACAUUAUGAGUCGUCACAGGAAAUGCUUUCCUGUAUGUUAAUAUAUAAAACGUGCAAUUUCUACAAACUGUAUAUUUAAAAAACAUCCUUGGCAGUAAGAUAUACAGAAAGUAACAGAGUAUGAAGAAGUAAGGUCCAGUCAAAACUUUGCAACGAAGCUGCCUUUGUAGCCACUGAAGGCAGAUACACUCCUCAGGAGAUGUGCAUUUUGGUGGUAGAUUUCUGAUACCUGCACUUCUUAGAAUACAGUCAACUUCUGCUCGUGACUAUUGAAUUUCACUCUUAUCAUCUCCUUUACUGAUCUGAAGCUCUUGGGGCUGUGUAGGAAUCUCAAAUUCUGGGGCUGUCAUACCUUCGUUUGGAAUGCACUCAAGGAAUAAACAGCCUCCAAAUUAAUGGAAAACGAGCCCAAAAUUUUGCACAUUUUAUUUCUACUAACUGCUGAAUUCUUCAAGCCAUCAAGCAUGGGAAGACCUCAAAGGAUAUGCUUACUGUGCUUACUACUACAGAAUAUUAACAGCAGAAGGAAAAUGCAGGAAAAUCCCACCCUUGAGGUAAUCCCUAACUUGACCAAAAAAAGAAAAAAAAAAAUCUUUUGCUUUUACUUUCAAGACAAGCAGAUCAGAACCCUCUGGUAAACCAUGUGUUUUGUGGAUUAAAUCUUCACUUUUCCAAGGUCACACAGCAAAAAGGAAUAAUAGUCUUCCCCUACAAAUUUCAGAUUUACCAUUUAAUUAAUUGACUUUGGCAGUUGGCACACAACCUUUAAAAAAAAAAAAAAAAAAACAUUCUGAAAUGUCAGCCUUGAAGGGGGAAAAAAAAAUCAUUUGAUGAAUUUAAUCUAAGUGCCAACCAAAGCACAAAUGUUCCCUGUGGACCCGUUACAACACUGGAGUUCACAACUGAUUGCUUGGGAAUGAGCAAAUUAAUGCAGCAAAAUAUUUACUAGCUAAGUAGAUGUAGUUUAAUAUAUAUACUCUACUCGCCAGAUAUUUACACCUGUAUCCUAUAAAACACUGAAAUCUUCAGACUUGUUAAAUUAAUUAAUUUAAUUAAGGUAAAUAAAUAGAAAUCCAGGUUGCUGUUUUCCCAAAUAAGAAGUUUCACAGGCUGAGAGUGUUCAUUUAUGAUUUCGAUUUUUUCUUGUUGUUUUGUUUUUUUACAAAUGUGAGAAACCACAAAAAGUUGUUCUCCUGCUUCCUGUACGUACACGUUGUGCAAAUUAUAUAUAGUCUACUGGAUAGUCUUCAGCAGUGAACUUCAGGUACCAUCUGUACAUAUUUCUGGCACUAUUUAUUUGCAAUUAACCAGGGCCUUAUGUUUUAUCCCCUGCAACUUAAAGUCUUAAAUGCUGGAGGAGGUAAUUUUAGCAGAAGGGAAUACUGAAGCCAGCAUCAGGCUUUCUAAUGAGAAAAACCUAUCCUGUUACUCCCUAUUUAAACCAUUGCGACUGAGAAAGAUUGCUUUUCCUAGGUAAAAAAAAGAAAUGGUCUUGGCAGAAAAGAAAAAAAAAAAAAGUUUUAAUAGCACCUGCAAGUGCAGAUUAAAUCAUUUGUAACGAUUCAUUAAACUUGAUGUCUCAGAUACUCCACCAGUGAAAACAAGCUCCACUGAUUUCACCAGAUCACGA
This is a long non-coding RNA of Gallus gallus (chicken), 2215 nucleotides long. The record is from Ensembl. NCBI's taxonomy places the organism in Eukaryota, Metazoa, Chordata, Aves, Galliformes, Phasianidae.